This 510-nucleotide ribosomal RNA is filed under the name uncultured bacterium. RNAcentral's name for it is "bacterial SSU rRNA". It matches the Rfam family "Bacterial small subunit ribosomal RNA", at positions 14 to 518 of the family's 1533-position model. The record is from RNAcentral.
CGAUUCUGGCUCAGGAUGAACGCUAGCGGCAGGCUUAACACAUGCAAGUCGAGGGGCAGCGGGAUGUAGCAAUACAUUGCCGGCGACCGGCGGAUGGGUGCGUAACGCGUAUGCAACCUACCUUAUACAGGGGAAUAACCUUUCGAAAGGGAGACUAACACCCCAUAGUAUUGAUUUAAGGCAUCUUAGAUUAAUUAAAUAUUAUAGGUAUAAGAUGGGCAUGCGUAUGAUUAGCUAGUUGGUAAGGUAGCGGCUUACCAAGGCGACGAUCAUUAGGGGUUCUGAGAGGAAGGUCCCCCACACUGGUACUGAGACACGGACCAGACUCCUACGGGAGGCAGCAGUGAGGAAUAUUGGUCAAUGGGCGCAAGCCUGAACCAGCCAUGCCGCGUGCAGGAAAGACGGCCUUAUGGGUUGUAAACUGCUUUACAUAAGACUAACCGUAUAUUUGCGAAUAUACCUGAAUGUAUUAUGAGAAUAAGGAUCGGCUAACUCCGUGCCAGCAGCCGC